Molecule: ribosomal RNA, 504 nt
Filed under: uncultured bacterium
Lineage: Bacteria
Description: partial 16S ribosomal RNA
Rfam family: Bacterial small subunit ribosomal RNA
Source: RNAcentral
AUUGAACGCUGGCGGCAGGCCUAACACAUGCAAGUCGAACGGUAGCACAGAGAGCUUGCUCUCGGGUGACGAGUGGCGGACGGGUGAGUAACGUCUGGGAAACUGCCCGAUGGAGGGGGAUAACUACUGGAAACGGUAGCUAAUACCGCAUAACGUCGCAAGACCAAAGUGGGGGACCUUCGGGCCUCACACCAUCGGAUGUGCCCAGAUGGGAUUAGCUAGUAGGUGGGGUAAUGGCUCACCUAGGCGACGAUCCCUAGCUGGUCUGAGAGGAUGACCAGCCACACUGGAACUGAGACACGGUCCAGACUCCUACGGGAGGCAGCAGUGGGGAAUAUUGCACAAUGGGCGCAAGCCUGAUUCAGCCAUGCCGCGUGUAUGAAGAAGGCCUUCGGGUUGUAAAGUACUUUCAGCGGGGAGGAAGGCGGUGAAGUUAAUAGCUUCACCGAUUGGCGUUACCCGCAGAAGAAGCACCGGCUAACUCCGUGCCAGCCGCCGCGGUAA